UGUUGCGCUAUUUGUGGCAUCAUAUAUUCUGUCCUGCACCCAAAACAGUAUAAUUGUUUUACAAAUUAGAAAAAUCGAUGCUCCAUAAAAAACCAGAUAAAACUUAAUUACGUGGCCACCUUCUUACAGCCAUGCUAUUAUUAAGACUUAGAGCAAUAGGAAAGAUUUUUUGGGGAAGUGUGAAACUAAAUUCUUUUUUUAAUCUAUAUGAAGCAUUCACUCAUGUAGCUAUCCUUCUUGCUCAUCAUAGAAGCAAUUAAGUUGUAAAAGAUAAAUAUAUAGACAAAAGCUUUAUGCCCCAUAACCAAGUUUUCCAUGAAAAAGAAGGUUGAAUGACAUAUAAUGCGAUUUAGAAUCAUCCAAGAGAAAGAAAACGAAUGAAGGAAGAAGAAAACAUCAUACCAACAGCACAUGACUACGUACUAUCUAUGUUAUUGCCUGUAGUGCCUUCCUCUCAACGAUUCUACGUACUAUAUAUCUUGUUUUCAUCUUAUCAUUUGCUUCAAUCCUCAGAGUUGAGAAGAUUAAUAUAAUUACUUUGCACUCUUCUCCAGUCUCCAACUGGCCACCACCCUUAUCUUCUCAGAUAGAAUUUUACAAAAGAAAAUUUUUGCUACAUUUCAUGAUGCUGCGGAAAAAUAAUGUAAAAGAGAUUUUAUCAACUAUAAAUGAUUUAAAGAAAUAAAUUUCCCAAAAAUAUUAAUUAGUACAAAUAAGUAUGCAAGCGCCAUCAUAAAGAGCCUACAAAACUCAUCAAGGUUUGGGAUGAUCGCCCUAAAUUACAGUAUGCAUUUGAAAAUAAACAUUCUAAUCAAGUAACCCAAAAGCAACUAAUAGACUCCCUGGUAUAAUUUUGUAUGGAAUUUUUCGCAAACCAUUUUGUGCCGUACCUGCAAAGAAGGAAAAAUUGGGGAUAUUUUCACCCGUGGAAAACUUAAUAUAUCAAAAAUCAGAAUAUAUUAAAUCAACGACAAUCCUGCAUAAAAUAAUAAUUUUGUUAAUAUAUUCCACAAACAUUCAACAAUAUUUGACUAUAGUGCCAAAACAAGCCUUGCGUAAUGAAGCAGAAGGGUGUGAAAUAGGC
This 1084-nucleotide long non-coding RNA is filed under the name Nicotiana tabacum (common tobacco). RNAcentral describes it as "long non-coding RNA (NTAB_LNC015768)". Lineage: Eukaryota; Viridiplantae; Streptophyta; Magnoliopsida; Solanales; Solanaceae. The record is from RNAcentral.